UCCACUGUUCAAACGGACAGAAUCUCCCCUGUAUUUGCACGACGUCGCACAAGUACAAGAUACAACCGCACAGUAUAAUAAUCCAUAUACAAUCACCACAUAACAUAUACCAUUCACAUUUAUUCCAUCACCAGUUUAUCAUAAUCCACAUCUAUUAGUUUAAAAUGUUUCCCACUCAGAAACUUAUUUUGAAAUACUAAGAAUCAUGAAAACCAGAAAAUCUUUUUUAAAACCGUUUCCCACACGGAAACCUUUUCCUUCAAAAACAUGCUACCAUGAGGAGUAGAAAAUCGUUUUCAUCACAUAAUAAAAUCAUAAGUACUUUAUUACUUUCACAAAACCACAUGUGUCCAAAUAAAGUAAAACCAACCGAACCAUAAUGUCUAAGCAGGAGAAAUAGAUUAGAAAUUAAACCGUGAUUCACCGGGCUGGAGCACUCUACGACCACUAACCGCGUGCCUCACGAACCGUCCCGACUCGGACCAGCAACGUCAUCUGAAAGGGUGUCACGCCCUGCGACCGCCAAUUUGGUCGGUUCGGGUACGUCAACAGACGCCGAGCGGACAGCACCUCUCCUAUUCGCCCAAGGCUCCACCAACAUGUAUAAUAAAGCAAUUCAAUACAAGACGAAUGCACUUAUACAUGGCUUGCUCGAGGGCAAUCAACAGCAAGUAGUGAAAGCUCUAAGCUACUAC
Molecule: long non-coding RNA, 695 nt
Filed under: Ananas comosus (pineapple)
Lineage: Eukaryota; Viridiplantae; Streptophyta; Magnoliopsida; Poales; Bromeliaceae
Description: long non-coding RNA (ACOM_LNC026868)
Source: RNAcentral